AAUUUCGAAUUGUUGUAUUGUGCGGUAUUGGAUACACUAUUUAUUUUAUUUAUUUAUUUGAACACAUAAAUUUUGGUUCAAACAGGCACCGAAUACAUAUGCGCCAUAAAAGCCAAUUGAUUUGUGUGUGAGCUGUGAUACUACCCGAGUGCUCAGACCGAAUGUUUUCAUUGAUCAGGAGCGAAAGUCAGAAUUUCGAAGACGAUCAAAUACCGUCGUAGUUCUGACCAUAAACGAUGCAAACUGACGAUCCGCGUUUGUUCUAUAAUUGACAUCGCUGGAAGUCCUCGGGAAACCUUUAAGUCUUUUGGCU
Molecule: non-coding RNA, 313 nt
Filed under: Schistosoma margrebowiei
Lineage: Eukaryota; Metazoa; Platyhelminthes; Trematoda; Strigeidida; Schistosomatidae
Description: Eukaryotic small subunit ribosomal RNA
Rfam family: Eukaryotic small subunit ribosomal RNA
Source: Rfam by way of RNAcentral